Molecule: ribosomal RNA, 392 nt
Filed under: uncultured bacterium
Lineage: Bacteria
Description: partial 16S ribosomal RNA
Rfam family: Bacterial small subunit ribosomal RNA
Source: RNAcentral
AUACGGAGGAUGCGAGCGUUAUCCGGAUUUAUUGGGUUUAAAGGGAGCGUAGGCGGGAGCUUAAGUCAGCGGUUAAAUGGUGCGGCUCAACCGUGCCCUGCCGUUGAAACUGGGUUUCUUGAGAGUGCAAGAGGCGGAUGGAAUUCAUGGUGUAGCGGUGAAAUGCUUAGAUAUCGUGAAGAACUCCGAUUGCGAAGGCAGGUCGCUUGGGCACGUAGGACGCUGAUGCUCGAAGGUGCGGAAAUCAAACAGGAUUAGAUACCCUGGUUGUCCGCACGGGAAACGAUGAUUACCCGAUGUCGGCGGUAGACAGUCGGCGGCCAAGCGAAAGCGAUAAGUAAUCAACCUGGGGAGUACCCCGGUAACGGUGAAACUCAAAGGAAUUCACGGGG